UUGCUGUCCCUUUGCAGCGCAGUCCUCUAAGGAGGUUUCUGACAUUUUAUUACUAACGUGCAGAAGUACUGUUAGUUCCACCAGCUUUUAUCCAGGAAACUGAGCAUAAAUUUACACAGGUCUAGCCCUGUCAUCCCAGAGAACUACUGUAAGUAUCAAGCUAUGGAGACUCUGUAUGCGUGUUUACACACAAGUGUCUAUGUGCCUCUGUCCAUGUACCAGUCUUGCUCUUGCUCUGAUCAUGUCCCUUCUUCUCCCCUUUCCUCUUUGAGCUCCAAAUUCACUUAUGUAUUUCUUUUCCACAUAAACUGGAAAGAGUUUCAACAGUUCCCACGCCAUUCCAGCAUGGGAAUGAGGAAGUCAUUUUAAUAAAAAGUUAUUUUUAUUGGAAAAAAAAAAAAAGAAAAAAAAAGUAUAGCAUUAGUUACUAAUUUUUGGGUGAUGAAGUCGAGACAAUAAGAAAAUUGAGAUUUUUUUUUUCUGGUGGACUUUCAGAGCUCCUUGAGAACAAGCUUAAUGACAUAGAUCAUUAGCAGUGGGGUUGGACUAGAUGAUCUUCAGAGGUCCCUUUUCAACCUCUAUGAUUCUGUAAUUUUAUGAUUCUGUGAUCUCAUAUUUCUGCCACUCUAUCCAUCAUUUUCUCAAAAGACCACCAAUUGUCAAGUCUAAAGAGUUGUAGUCCAACCAACCACUGUAGUUUGAGUUACAGAUAAAGUAUAGGAAAUCUUGUACAAAAAAAAAAUGAGAGGUGUAUGUGGGAGCAAAAGUUAGCAGUAAGUCUGCCACAGAAAAAGGAAAAAAUAUAUAUGCCAUAAGAUCUUACUAAUGAGGGUUAGAAAUACAGCCAAAAGACACAAUAAUAAAUAUAAAAACUGAACAAUGCACUGCACAGAAACAGCUAACAUAAUUCAGAUGUCUCCAUUCCCCCUUCAGAAAAAGAGGACUUUUCACUAUCAGAUAAAGAAAUGACCCAAACACAUUCUCUGCAUCCAACAGCUUCAGCAGUGCUUUGAAAUUCCUCAGUCUUUGAUGAACAGGCCUACAUAUUUAGAUAAGUGUAGCGUUUUUCCAGAGGGGCAUGAAAGAAUUCAAAACAAAUACAGCCUUUGCAUGACUAUGCAGUUGCACAGAAUUCUCAAAAGGAAACUGCUUGCAGGAUCAGGGCCUUUCCAGCAAUGUGAAAUUUAAGAUGUUAGUAGGGGUUGAAAGAGAAGAGAUGACAUUUCUGUUGAGGGGAUUCAUACGCACAUGAUGCAGGAGAAGGAGUUACAGAAUUUUAGCUGCUGACAUACCCAGGCUCAGAUCUGUGGUUUGGGCACAAAAACAGGGCUAUUGCUUCUAGGGCUUUGGUGGAGGGAUGUGAAAACUGAACAGUAGCAUCUAAGACAUGACUCAUAGGGCAUGGUGCAAAACGGUGCAUAGGGCAGGAGUCUGAGAUGUUGCAGUGAGCUAGCCCUGCAUCUGCAAAGUAACAAAGUUACUUACAUGGUCCUUUCUCCAAUUUCUUGAGAUCUUUUAACAGUGAAGACAACAGAAUUAAAGAGUGUGGCAUUAAAGCUAUUUUUACUGAUGUUGUUUUCUUACACAGCUUGCAAGCUUACAAUAUACCUGAACAGUACUAGAUCUUAUGCACAGAGCAUGAUGUAAGAAGUUUGUUUUGGGUUGCUUCUUCACUGUGCAGCCUAGCUUCUUUCAGAGCUGCCUUUGCAUGUCUACCUGUAGACGUGAGCUCGUAUUUGACUAUCUGAAUGGUCCUAUUUAGAAGGUAUACAUCACAGCACAUCCAAGACAUCCCUAGCUUACCACAGCUCAUCCAUCAGCUCUUGAGUCAGUCUACUGCUCUGAGUUUUAAGGCAAAGUGUCACUGUUUUCCUUAAAAAUAUGGUGGUGACUGCAUUUAGUAGGGCAACCUGUCUGUUUCUGACCCCUGGGUCCUCAACAGUAUUUGUAACUCUUUCAGGCUCUCUGUACUACAGUUUUUAUUCAAAGAGAUUUUGCAUUGAAUUUCUAAUUGUUAUAACAAAUCCUGAAUAGCAGCAGUCCUACUUUUGGUUUCUAUGUAGUCAUCUGCAACCAUCUCCUCUGACUGAUGAUUCCGUUGGAGCUGCGCCUAUCUCCACACAUUAAUCUCAUGCAUUGUGAGUCUUCUUGACAGAUUACAUGGCCAAGCUUCCAGAAAAGUAUCUGAGAACAAUCCAAAUGUAUUAUACCUGCACCUCCAUCUUCAUCAACUUUGUAAUUUAACAAGAAAUAAAAUAUACUUGACAAAUUCUUUUUCUAUAAAGUCACAUCAGCUGCUACUGCUGUACUCCCAUCUCAUAACUUGUUAUGUCCUGUAUCAGCAUUUGUUGUUGGUUUUAUUCAUGACAGAUAAAUUAGUUGUUAUCUGUGUCUUCAGCUGUCCAAAUUGAAUACUUAAGGUCAGUUUUCAGGACUUACAGAAUUCCUGCAGUAAUUAGAGCUUUAUUAGAAAUGUAUAUGAUUUCAUACUUUGUGGAAGACCAUAUGCAGUCUCUAAUACUCUCAAAUUAAAGUUCUUUAUGACUCACCUACUUUAGAAUGUUUCUCUUUAUGUUGUUUGGUGCCCAUACUAAUAAUGACAAGGAAGGUACUCAGUCAUUUUGAUAUGCUGAAGUCCAUCAUACAUUUUUUCAAUGAUCGGAUAAAACUCUUAUCUGUAUCUAUUUAGAUAUAUUGGCCUACAAUACUGGUAAAAUUUAGAAAACUAGAGUUAUUCCUAAAAUUACCAAGCACACUUUUUCUCAUCCAUUUUUUCUAUGCUUUAUAACUGUUCUUACAAUGAUUGCUUUAUUUCCUACUUUAAUAUCUUUACUUCCGACUGCCGUGUUUGCUUCCCCACAAAACUAGAAAUGCAUUUUGCUGAAUGUCUUUUUUCAUGACAACAUCCUGGCUUAAAUCAUUCAACUUCAUUUUUACUCCCACUGCUUUGACACAUUUCUAUCUAGUUUUUCUUCUCACUCAGUCAUUCAUUUUCUGCAGCUUUGAGAGAAACAAGCCAAAAUACAAGCCUUAUGAACAAGACACCGCCACUGUCCACUUGUGUGUUAUCUACAUGCUCAGGUGAACUCCUUCAGGCUUGUAAUUACCUUAUCUUUACCAAAAUAAAUUCUGAAGUUGUACAUUUCUCCAA
This is a long non-coding RNA of Tympanuchus pallidicinctus (lesser prairie-chicken), 3151 nucleotides long. RefSeq lists it as uncharacterized. NCBI's taxonomy places the organism in Eukaryota, Metazoa, Chordata, Aves, Galliformes, Phasianidae. The record is from RefSeq and is a predicted model, not a curated record. The transcript has 2 exons.